CACAGGCAUCCGCCUGAGAACUACGAGCAUAAACGCUUAAAACUCUAAGGACUUGGCGGUGCUCUAAACCCACCUAGAGGAGCCUGUUCUAUAAUCGAUAACCCACGAUUCACCCGACCACUUCUUGCCAAAACAGCCUAUAUACCGCCGUCGCCAGCCCACCUCAUGAGAGCACAAUAGUGAGCCCAACAGCCCACAGCCCACUAACAAGACAGGUCGAGGUAUAGCCUAUGGAGUGGAAGAAAUGGGCUACAUUUUCUAAAAUAGAAAACCCAACGAAAGGGGAUUUGAAAUCUAUCCCCAGAAGGCGGAUUUAGCAGUAAAGCAGGACA
RNAcentral lists this ribosomal RNA (332 nucleotides) under Eupsittula aurea (peach-fronted parakeet). RNAcentral's name for it is "partial 12S ribosomal RNA". It matches the Rfam family "Bacterial small subunit ribosomal RNA", at positions 860 to 1351 of the family's 1533-position model. The record is from RNAcentral. Lineage: Eukaryota; Metazoa; Chordata; Aves; Psittaciformes; Psittacidae.